UGUAUAUUGCCAUGCUAGCUUGUGCUCGCCCCUUCAAUGUUCUACAUUCGCCUAGUUACAUCAAAGGUCAACCGUGUCAUACCUCCUCUAGCUCUAGCUGCUGUGGAACUAUACGCGUCGACUCCGUUUACGUCUGUGUACUUUCCGUAUCACUCGUUCCGCAUUCUUCGUAGCGUUCCGCACGUUCCGCAUUUUAGCAUAGAUUGUAUUACUAAGUAACAGGGAUUGGAAACUGAUGACGUCACACGGACAGACUCUGUAAUGGUGGAAAAGCAAUGGAAAGACUACACAAGCUCUUCUCCUAGUCUCCAACUGUAUUAAUUUGAAUUUUAUUUACUAUCGAUGAUGAACAGAUAGGUCUUGAGAGUUCAUGACUGUUCUUUGUGACGGUUAAGCAUAGUUUUGUUGACAGAAUCUUCGCCGCCUCUCGCGGCCCAUGUUAUCAUUGAAAUUGCCUUUGUGAUGGCACAAAUUAACGAAUACAGCUAUUAUUUUUCCAAAGUGCCGUCUAUGGCUUAUAUAAUAGGCUAAAGGCAUGUGAAAAACCCUGAUCUUUGUUACAGUUUUUGUCCUUUAUCCUAAUUUUACUUACUUUUUGUGAUAUAGGUUGAACAGAUACGCCUCUAAAAACAGACAUUUUGGGAUCUUAUGAUCUGUAUGAAGCACUAGUGAUAAUAAAAGUGUUUUAGUGGCAUGUAGCUUUACUUGAUGCAUGUUUUUUAUAUUGACACUCUCUCAGUUUUAGUUACCCUUAGCAAGUUAUAGGUUGAAUAGAUUUCACACCUAUUACGCAUGGUAAAAAAGCAUGCUUUUUCUCAUUUUUCUUCAAAAUAAAGUGCUGUAUUACAGUUUUAACAGUUUCUGAUAAGUAAUCAAACCUUCAGCAACAAUAUAAGCUAUAUAACUGCCCUGGAUCUGGCUUCAAGCUACACUUAAUCUAGCAGUCCUCUCAGUCAUAUUGCUCUAGUCUCAACGAGCCGGGGAAGGGGCAGAGUCUUACAAGGUUCGUCCGCACCUGCUUUCAUUAAUUUGAAUGAGAUCACGUGAUCUGUUUCCUAUCCCUGUUACUUAGUAAUACAAUCUAUGGCUAUAGCGAGCUAGCUAGACUAUCUAUGGGUGGGGUUAGUAUGCACGUACAUGUGUACAUGUUCAUGUAAUAUACAAGCUAAAGCUAUAUGAUACAUGUAGGUACACAUGUACAUGUACAUGUAGUUGUUACUUACAACAUUUGUGUAUACUUAAGCCAUGUUUGUCUAUCUGACACUGUGCUUUUGAUAUUUUAGCUGAACAAGUGAAUUGUACACAGUCAGUGUACAUGUAUAUACAUGUACAUGUGUUACGCAAACAGUGACAGUGUGUUUUCAAUAUGCAUGGUAAUGACAUUAAGUUUGUUUAAACUAUUAUACGUGUGCAUAUACAGCUACAUGUAAAUAAUGUAACGUACUGUACAUGUACAUGUACUUGACCCAAUGUCUAUUGUAGCAGAUUAAAAGCAUGACAUGUUUCUCAAUUCCACUAGUUUUCCUUACCACCAGCACAUGGUAUGAUUCACUUUGUUAGGUAACAAUAUCAGUCCAUCUGCCAGAACCUCUUGCCAAAUACUAGAAACUAUGGAAGUGCCAAUGUAGUCACUACGCUGUAUUAGUAAUUUAGUAGUGUAAACUGUGAACCAAUUACUACUUAAUGUACGAACAUGUACAUGUACAUGUACAUGUAUAUUUUUCUUGUAGCGGGAGCAGUGAUGAAGAGUCUGAUGAGGGUUCCAGCAGUCGGAUCAAGGAAAUUCAAAAACGAAAAACUCGCGAGUUUUUUGAAGCCGAAUUUAGAAAAAGAAGGAGAGAGACGACCAGUCCUGAAGUAGAAGAACUACCUAGUCCUGAUAGUAAUAUUAGAGAUCCUAGUCUAACCAAGAGAGUGUCUAAAUUGACGAUUAAAUAACGACUCAUAUGCGAUCCAACAAAGAAAAUGGCGAGUGAUGUUAAUGCAUCAUAUGAAUCGAGAAUUUUACUUAAUUUUAUCAAGUGCGUUGAAUUAUUAACCAAAAAAUGACAAUUUUUCAACAAUUAACCACCUUGGGCAAAAUUUCUAGCCAGUGCUCAAAGAUAUUCAAGGAACACAACAUUAGGAGACCACUUCAAACAGCAGAAAAGGGGCUUGAAAUGUCACCAAUAUUGAAGGUUUCAGCUAAUGCCUCAAAGUCAUGUCUCCUUCGUUUUCACAACAGAACUAAAGCGGUCACAUCUUCUGACUACUCAAUCAAUGGCUCUACUAUCUCAUGCAAGCAGCACUGUAAGGACCUGGGUGUGCUAUUCUCAUCAGACCUCUCAUGGUCAGACCACUACAACUCAAUAUCAGCAAAGGCUUACCAAACACUAGGUCUACUACGGCGGUCUUUCUCUCCAUCAGUCUCAGUUGGUGUCAAGAAAAGUCUCUAUCUUUCUCUUGUGAGAUCAAGAAUGA
Amphimedon queenslandica is the source of this 2460-nucleotide long non-coding RNA. RefSeq lists it as uncharacterized. The transcript is spliced from 6 exons. NCBI's taxonomy places the organism in Eukaryota, Metazoa, Porifera, Demospongiae, Haplosclerida, Niphatidae. The record is from RefSeq and is a predicted model, not a curated record.